GUAUGUAUGCAUGUAUGUAUGUAUGUAUGUAUGCAUGUAUGUAUGUAUGUAUGUAUGCAUGUAUGUAUGUAUGCAUGCAUGUAUGCAUGUAUGCAUGCAUGCAUGUAUGCAUGUAUGCAUGUAUGCAUGUAUGCAUGUAUGCAUGUAUGCAUGUAUGCAUGUAUGC
Molecule: small RNA, 166 nt
Filed under: Paramuricea clavata
Lineage: Eukaryota; Metazoa; Cnidaria; Anthozoa; Malacalcyonacea; Plexauridae
Source: RNAcentral